Molecule: ribosomal RNA, 601 nt
Filed under: uncultured bacterium
Lineage: Bacteria
Description: bacterial SSU rRNA
Rfam family: Bacterial small subunit ribosomal RNA
Source: RNAcentral
AGCUCGCGGGAGCGCAACUGACGCUGAAGCUCGAAAGUGCGGGUAUCGAACAGGAUUAGAUACCCUGGUAGUCCGCACGGUAAACGAUGGAUGCCCGCUUUUCGGUCAUUAGACCGUGAGGCCAAGUGAAAACAUUAAGCAUCCCACCUGGGGAGUACGCCGGCAACGGUGAAACUCAAAGGAAUUGACGGGGGCCCGCACAAGCGGAGGAACAUGUGGUUUAAUUCGAUGAUACGCGAGGAACCUUACCCGGGCUUGAAUUGCAGAUGAAGGAUCCAGAGAUGGUGACGCCCUUCGGGGCAUCUGUGAAGGUGCUGCAUGGUUGUCGUCAGCUCGUGCCGUGAGGUGUCGGCUCAAGUGCCAUAACGAGCGCAACCCCUCUCUUCAGUUGCCAUCAGGCAAAGCUGGGCACUCUGGAGACACUGCCACCGCAAGGUGUGAGGAAGGUGGGGAUGACGUCAAAUCAGCACGGCCCUUACGUCCGGGGCUACACACGUGUUACAAUGGGGGGUACAGAAAGCCGGCUGCCCGCAAGGUCAGUCCAAUCAAGAAAGCCCUCCUCAGUUCGGACUGGGGUCUGCAACCCGACCCCACGAAGCUG